This 974-nucleotide long non-coding RNA is filed under the name Cicer arietinum (chickpea). RNAcentral describes it as "long non-coding RNA (CARI_LNC000725)". The record is from RNAcentral. Lineage: Eukaryota; Viridiplantae; Streptophyta; Magnoliopsida; Fabales; Fabaceae.
GGAAAACCCCUAAACUUGCUUAAUUAGACUUAGGUUGCAGAUUUACUUGUGGCUUAGUUCUCUGUUUGCAGCCUCAGGAUGUAGUAUUAUUUGGAGGCGUCUCUCACAAUUUUCUUUUGUAAACGUGAAUUUUUUGUAGUUUCAAUGCUUGUGAAUGCAUUGCCUUGGGUGGAACAACUAGACAUGAAAAAUAUGCUUUUGGGCUGUUUUGAAGAUAAAGCUACGAUGAUAUUGUCAAGAGACCAAACUUUCAAACCUUCUGAUAAGAAAUCAUCACAACAUAAACAUCAAAAUCGAAAACACAAUGUUCAUGUGCUUUUGAAUUCUAGUUCUAAAAAUCCAAAGGUAUGCAUUCUUAUUUAAUUUUGAUCUAAGGAGUUCAUUAAAAUAAAUGACAUAGAUUUAUACUUGGAGGAAAUUGCACUUGAGAAAUUUGAAUUACACUUGUCUCUAGGCAUGGCAACGGGGCGGGGACGAGUUUUGCCUCUCCCACCCCCUCACUCGACUAGUUGAGAAAAACCUGCACUCUCUCUAUUUCUUUUUGGGUGCGAAAUUUAGGUCUCCAUCUCCGUCCUUGUUAUUUUCAAAGCAAGUCUCUCUAUCCCUUUUUAGUUUUUUAAAAAAUAGUGGGAAAACCCCUAAACUUGCUUAAUUAGACUUAGGUUGCAGAUUUACUUGUGGCUUAGUUCUCUGUUUGCAGCCUCAGGAUGUAGUAUUAUUUGGAGGCGUCUCUCACAAUUUUCUUUUGUAAACGUGAAUUUUUUGUAGUUUCAAUGCUUGUGAAUGCAUUGCCUUGGGUGGAACAACUAGACAUGAAAAAUAUGCUUUUGGGCUGUUUUGAAGAUAAAGCUACGAUGAUAUUGUCAAGAGACCAAACUUUCAAACCUUCUGAUAAGAAAUCAUCACAACAUAAACAUCAAAAUCGAAAACACAAUGUUCAUGUGCUUUUGAAUUCUAGUUCUAAAAAUCCAAAG